UGCCAGCCGCCGCGGUAAGACGGAGGGCGCAAGCGUUGUUCGGAAUUACUGGGCGUAAAGCGCGGGCAGGUGGUCCGUUAAGUCGUUUGUGAAAAUCCGGGGCUCAACCCCGCGAAAUGCAGACGAUACUGGCGGACUAGAGAUCGGUAGAGGCUAGCGGAAUUCCUGGUGUAGCGGUGGAAUGCGUAGAUAUCAGGAAGAACACCAGUGGCGAAGGCGGCUAGCUGGGCCGAGUCUGACACUCAUCCGCGAAAGCGUGGGGAGCAAACAGGAUUAGAUA
Molecule: ribosomal RNA, 280 nt
Filed under: uncultured bacterium
Lineage: Bacteria
Description: partial 16S ribosomal RNA
Rfam family: Bacterial small subunit ribosomal RNA
Source: RNAcentral